RNAcentral lists this ribosomal RNA (463 nucleotides) under uncultured bacterium. RNAcentral describes it as "partial 16S ribosomal RNA". It matches the Rfam family "Bacterial small subunit ribosomal RNA", at positions 28 to 507 of the family's 1533-position model. The record is from RNAcentral.
GACGAACGCUGGCGGCGUGCUUAACACAUGCAAGUCGAACGGUAAGGCCCUUCGGGGUACCCGAGUGGCGAACGGGUGAGUCACGCGUGAGUAACCUGCCCUUCACUCUGGGAUAACAGUUGGAAACCGCUGCUAAUACCGGAUAUUCAGCUCCUGUCGCAUGGUGGGGGUUGGAAAGUUUUGGUGGUGGAGGAUGGGCUCGCGUCCUAUCAGCUUGUUGGUGGGGUGAUGGCCUACCAAGGCCUCGACGGGUAGCCGGCCUGAGAGGGCGACCGGCCACAUUGGGACUGAGAUACGGCCCAAACUCCUACGGGAGGCAGCAGUGGGGAAUAUUGCACAAUGGGCGGAAGCCUGAUGCAGCAACGCCGCGUGCGGGAUGACGGCCUUCGGGUUGUAAACCGCUUUCAGCAGGGACGAAGCGCAAGUGACGGUACCUGCAGAAGAAGCACCGGCUAACUACGUG